RNAcentral lists this ribosomal RNA (449 nucleotides) under uncultured bacterium. Its description in RNAcentral is "partial 16S ribosomal RNA". It matches the Rfam family "Bacterial small subunit ribosomal RNA", at positions 29 to 523 of the family's 1533-position model. The record is from RNAcentral.
AACGAACGCUGGCGGCGUGCCUAACACAUGCAAGUCGAACGAGAUCUUCGGGUCUAGUGGCGCACGGGUGCGUAACGCGUGGGAAUCUGCCCUUUGGUUCGGAAUAACAGUUGGAAACGACUGCUAAUACCGGAUGAUGACGAAAGUCCAAAGAAUUAUCGCCAGAGGAUGAGCCCGCGUAGGAUGAGCUAGUUGGUGUGGUAAAGGCGAACCAAGGCGACGAUCCUUAGCUGGUCUGAGAGGAUGAUCAGCCACACUGGGACUGAGACACGGCCCAGACUCCUACGGGAGGCAGCAGUGGGGAAUAUUGGACAAUGGGCGAAAGCCUGAUCCAGCAAUGCCGCGUGAGUGAUGAAGGCCUUAGGGUUGUAAAGCUCUUUUACCCGGGAUGAUAAUGACAGUACCGGGAGAAUAAGCUCCGGCUAACUCCGUGCCAGCAGCCGCCGUAA